This 254-nucleotide long non-coding RNA is filed under the name Homo sapiens (human). RNAcentral's name for it is "LHRI_LNC1534.1". The record is from RNAcentral. Lineage: Eukaryota; Metazoa; Chordata; Mammalia; Primates; Hominidae.
CGCAGGCGCCGUGCGAGACUGUCGAAGAAUCAAGUCUGUAGAAGUGGAGCGGUCGCGGCGGCAGCAGCAGCAGCGACGGUGGCGGCGGCGGAGCUGAGGCGGGCUGGCCGCUGACGCUGGCGCUGGAGAGCGGCGACGCCAGGAGCUGUGAGAGAGCGGCGGAGCGACCCGGGGCCCGCGCCGCGCCCGAGCUCCACGCCGCCCGGCCGCCGCCACCCCGGCGCGGCAUGCCCCGCCGCUCGGGCUGAGCCUGC